RNAcentral lists this ribosomal RNA (1188 nucleotides) under Haptophyta environmental samples. RNAcentral describes it as "bacterial SSU rRNA". It matches the Rfam family "Eukaryotic small subunit ribosomal RNA", at positions 427 to 1644 of the family's 1831-position model. The record is from RNAcentral. Lineage: Eukaryota; Haptophyta.
AGCAGGCGCGUAAAUUGCCCGAAUCCUGACACAGGGAGGUAGUGACAAGAAAUAACAAUACAGGGCUACUUCUAGUCUUGUAAUUGGAAUGAGUACAAUUUACAUCUCUUAACGAUGAUCAAUUGGAGGGCAAGUCUGGUGCCAGCAGCCGCGGUAAUUCCAGCUCCAAAAGCGUAUAUUAAAGUUGUUGCAGUUAAAACGCUCGUAGUCGUGUUUCGGGUCGGGCCGACCGGUCUGCCGAUGGGUAUGCACUGGUUGGAGCGGCCUUCUUUCCGGAGACCGCGGCUACUCUUAACUGAGCGGGGGUGGGAGACGGAUCGUUUACUUUGAAAAAAUCAGAGUGUUUCAAGCAGGCAGCUCGCUCUUGCAUGGUACAGCAUGGGAUGAUUGAAUAGGACUCCGGUGCUAUUUUGUUGGUUUCGAACACCGAAGUAAUGAUGAGAAGGGACAGUCAGGGGGCACUCGUAUUCCGUCGAGAGAGGUGAAAUUCUCAGACCAAUGGAAGACGAACCACUGCGAAAGCAUUUGCCAGGGAUGUUUUCACUGAUCAAGAACGAAAGUUAGGGGAUCGAAGACGAUCAGAUACUGUCAGAGUCAUCCCCAUAACACACGCAGUCUAGAGAGUAGAGUGUGCUCGGAUCGACUCCUUCAGCACUUACGGGAAACUAAAGUCUUUGGGUUCCGGGGGGAGUAUGGUCGCAAGGCUGAAACUUAAAGGAAUUGACGGAAGGGCACCACCAGGAGUGGAGCCUGCGGCUUAAUUUGACUCAACACGGGGAAACUUACCAGGUCCAGACAUUGUGAGGAUUGACAGAUUGAGAGCUCUUUCUUGAUUCGAUGGGUGGUGGUGCAUGGCCGUUCUUAGUUGGUGGAGUAAUUUGUCUGGUUAAUUCCGUUAACGAACGAGACCUUAGCCUGCUAAAUAGUGACGCGAACACUUCGUUCGGGGCCCAUUUUUUAGAGGGACAAUUAUUUUUCACCAAGGGGAAGUUUGAGCCAAUACCAGUUUUGGGAUGCCUUUAGAUGUUUUGGGCCCCCCCCGCGUUCCAUGGAUCCAUUCAACAAUUUUCACCUUGACCGAAAGGUCCGGGAAGCCUUCGAACUUGCAUCGUGAUGGGGAUAGAUUAUUGCAACUAUUAAUCUUCAACGAGGAAUACCUAGUAAGCGCAUGUCAUCAGCGCACGUUGA